Transfer RNA from Agaricus bisporus var. burnettii JB137-S8, 95 nucleotides. It matches the Rfam family "tRNA". From Rfam's summary of the family: Transfer RNA (tRNA) molecules are approximately 80 nucleotides in length. Their secondary structure includes four short double-helical elements and three loops (D, anti-codon, and T loops). The record is from Rfam. Lineage: Eukaryota; Fungi; Basidiomycota; Agaricomycetes; Agaricales; Agaricaceae.
GCCCGCCUAGCUCAAUCGGAUAGAGCGUCAGACUCUUAAUCCGGAUAGCGGACCAAGAAAUCUGAAGGCUGCGAGUUCGACCCUCGCGGUGGGCU